AGAACGAACGCUGGCGGCAUGCCUAACACAUGCAAGUCGAACGAGACCUUCGGGUCUAGUGGCGCACGGGUGCGUAACGCGUGGGAAUCUGCCCUUGGGUUCGGGAUAACAGUUGGAACGACUGCUAAUACCGGAUGAUGUCUUCGGACCAAAGAUUUAUCGCCCAGGGAUGAGCCCGCGUAAGAUUAGCUAGUUGGUGGGUAAAAGCCUACCAAGGCGACGAUCUUUAGACUGGUCUGGAGGGGAUGAUACAGACCACACGUGGGACUGAGACACGGCCCAGACCUCCGUACGGGAGGCAGCGAGGUGGGGAAUAGUUGGACAAGUCGGGACGAAGCCUGAUCCAGCAAGUGCCGCGU
This 359-nucleotide ribosomal RNA is filed under the name uncultured soil bacterium. Its description in RNAcentral is "bacterial SSU rRNA". It matches the Rfam family "Bacterial small subunit ribosomal RNA", at positions 26 to 402 of the family's 1533-position model. The record is from RNAcentral.